GCCUCUGGCAUGGCUCCGCCUGGAGGCCCAGCCUCAUCACAGCAUUCCUGAAAGACAGAGCAUGCUGAGUCCCUUCUUUGCAGCCAAGAAGCAUGAGUAGCAUAGGAGCUGACUGCAAGAGCAGGAGGCAGGACCAGUCAACAUUCCCCCAGGGAGAAAGAGGAUGGGAGAGGAAGGAGUCCUGAGGAGGAUUGAUCAGAAGCCAGAAGAUUGAUCAGUGCUCCCAGCUCUGGGACUAAACUAUCCACUCUUUGAUUCCUGAGGUCGUGCUAGGAGUCUUGUCAAGUUCAGCUUUGCAGAGGUCCAGGUAGGACCCAAAUUUUGCUUCUUCUUCUAACUUUCCCUAAAUGCCCAGUGCCAGUCUGGGUACUGAAGCCCCUGCCUGUGGCUCAUUAGCAGCAUCCCUAUCUAGUCUUACGUGCAUAUGGCUACUGGUGCUGAUGCCAAACCAACGUUAGGGGGAGAAGCCCUCCAGGUGUUUAUCACUGUGCAUUGGGAAGGUCACAGUGGUGCUGUAAGUGGUGGUGCUGGUCCACUCUGCUGUGGCAGAGCCUUCACCAG
Dipodomys ordii (Ord's kangaroo rat) is the source of this 561-nucleotide long non-coding RNA. RefSeq lists it as uncharacterized. NCBI's taxonomy places the organism in Eukaryota, Metazoa, Chordata, Mammalia, Rodentia, Heteromyidae. The transcript has 3 exons. The record is from RefSeq and is a predicted model, not a curated record.